CAGCUGGAGGACGCAACCAGGACCCUCCACAAGGCCCUCGCCCUGGAAGGUCUCAGGGACUGGUACCUGAGGAACACCAACGGCUCCACCCACCCAAACCAGGCCAAUGGAAAGGUCAACGCGGGGGUCAACACUAAGGUCAAUUGGGGGGUCAAAGGUCAGGCCGGAGGGGGAGGAGCUCUGCAAAGCCGGCGGAGGACUCGCGGUGUGCUCCACCACGAGCUGCAGGCGCACCAGAAGACGCUGACGCACUCGGCCACGUCCCACGGCAGGUAUGUGGACUCCUCCCCCCCUCAGGAGGACCAGCCGUCUCCUGGGACUCUGGUCUGACUCGCCGACCAAUCAGGAUGCAGACGGACAGAUCCACGGACCAAUCCCAGGCCGGCGUUCUGGGACCACCCCCUCUGGACAAGGCCCGCCCCUGUGAUGAUGUCACGGCCCUGUGACCUGGGGGGCGUCCCAGGUGUGACUGCUCAACCCCAAAGGCAUUCUGGGUAAAGAAAAUACAGUUUUUUCUUCCUUUUUUUCUACGAUGACGUCGUUCAUCUGACAAUCAGGACAAAAGCAUGACAUGAACUUCUGAAGAGGAGGAGGAGGAAGAGGAGGAGGAGCAGAUAAUCACCAGCUCAAACCAGCCAACCUUUUCAUGACGUUUAGGUGAUCAGGUGACCUUCAGGUGAGACUCUUCAGGUAUUCUUAGUUUGGACUCUUCCUCCUUCCCUGCGAUGAACCAGGACCACCAGGACUACCAGGACCACCAGGACCACCUCUGAAUGUGGUCUGAUGGGGUCUGAUGGGGUCUGAUGGGGUCCAGAUCCAGUGUGAGAGCAAUAAGAGGACCAGGGAGUCCUGAAUGAACCUUUGCGGCGACAAUCAGACGAUGAUGUCACGGUGCUGAUCCAUCGGUUAUUGAUCGACUGCACUGAGCCUGUUUUGUUUUGAGCUUUAGUGAAACUCUUUUAUACAGAUUUCCUUGAACUCAACAUGAAUGAAAUGCAACUUUUUUUAGUCGUCGGCCUGACUGAUCCACCAAUAAGUUGAUUGAUGAAUAUAUUGAUUAUCAAUCAAUUACAUGUGUCUGUGUUGUGAUGUGUCGUUUGUUCUGAGUUCAGCUCGUCACGCAAUUUUUCCAUUUAAACACAUGAAGAUCUAUAGUAAAAAUAUAUAUACAUAUAUAUAUAUAUUUAUAUUUAUAUAAAUAUAUAUAUAUAAAUAAUAUAUAUAAUUAUAUAUAAAUAUACAGUAUAUACACUUACUGAUCGAGCUUCGGAGGAGGAGAAAGUCCCAGCAUGCACCUCUUCUUACUCACGCCAAAGCAGAAAAGAAUACUCAGUGAUGUGUUCAAGAACCCUGAAUACUGUGGUACUAGUAAGUAAUACUAUGCAGUAACACCAAACUCUGGACAGACUUGUGAGUAUUUGAAAAGUACCUGUAUGUACCUGAGUUACAGUCGUACUCUACCUGAGCAAGUGGUGCCCUCCUUCAGGUCGAGGACCACCUGAUGUCUCCACUAUGGUGCGUUCAGGGUCACUCUGUACAGUUGUUGUUGUUUUUUCAUUUUGAAACAAUCUAAACUUUCUGAAAAAUACUUUUCUAUCUUUUUUCACUCGUUCUGCCGUUUUUUGUGAAAAUGUAAAUAAACGAUGUGAAUGAUGAA
Pseudoliparis swirei is the source of this 1657-nucleotide long non-coding RNA. RefSeq lists it as uncharacterized. Lineage: Eukaryota; Metazoa; Chordata; Actinopteri; Perciformes; Liparidae. The record is from RefSeq and is a predicted model, not a curated record. The transcript is spliced from 3 exons.